Molecule: ribosomal RNA, 310 nt
Filed under: uncultured bacterium
Lineage: Bacteria
Description: bacterial SSU rRNA
Rfam family: Bacterial small subunit ribosomal RNA
Source: RNAcentral
GACGAACGCUGGCGGCGUGCUUAACACAUGCAAGUCGAACGGGGCGAAGUGAUAGCUUGCUAUUAUGGAGCCUAGUGGCAAACGGGUGAGUAACGCGUAGGCAACCUGCCCUUCAGAUGGGGACAACACCUCGAAAGGGGUGCUAAUACCGAAUGACGUUUCCUGGUCGCAUGACCUGGAACCAAGGCCGGNAACCGGUCACUGAAGGAUGGGCCUGCGUCUGAUUAGCUAGUUGGUGAGAUAACAGCCCACCAAGGCGACGAUCAGUAGCCGGUACUGAGAGGAUGAACGGCCACAUUGGACUGAGACA